GUUAGGAAUAUUGGACAAUGGGCGAAAGCCUGAUCCAGCCAUGUCGCGUGAACGAUGAAGGCCUUCGGGUUGUAAAGUUCUUUAGCCGAUGAUUAUAAUGACUGUAGUCGGAAAAUAAGCCCCGGCUAACUUCGUGCCAGCAGCCGCGGUAAUACGAAGGGGGCGAGCGUUAUUCGGAAUCACUGGGCGUAAAGCGUGCGUAGGCGGUUUUGUAAGUUAGGAGUGAAAGCCCAGGGCUCAACCUUGGAAUUGCUCUUAAAACUGCAAGGCUCGAAUCUCGGAGAGGAUAGCGGAAUUUCCAGUGUAGCAGUGAAAUGCGUAGAUAUUGGAAGGAACACCAGUGGCGUAAGCGGCUAUCUGGACGAGUAUUGACGCUGAGGCACGAAAGUGUGGGGAUCAAACAGGAUUAGAUACCCGAGUAGUCC
This 425-nucleotide ribosomal RNA is filed under the name uncultured bacterium. RNAcentral's name for it is "partial 16S ribosomal RNA". It matches the Rfam family "Bacterial small subunit ribosomal RNA", at positions 354 to 796 of the family's 1533-position model. The record is from RNAcentral.